This 72-nucleotide transfer RNA is filed under the name Gelidium elegans. RNAcentral describes it as "tRNA-Thr". It matches the Rfam family "tRNA". From Rfam's summary of the family: Transfer RNA (tRNA) molecules are approximately 80 nucleotides in length. The record is from RNAcentral. Lineage: Eukaryota; Rhodophyta; Florideophyceae; Gelidiales; Gelidiaceae.
GCCCUUAUAACUCAGUGGUAGAGUAUCUUCUUGGUAAGAAGAAAGUAAUGAGUUCGAUUCUCAUUAAGGGCU